RNAcentral lists this ribosomal RNA (2278 nucleotides) under Pseudomonas aeruginosa. RNAcentral's name for it is "bacterial LSU rRNA". It matches the Rfam family "Bacterial large subunit ribosomal RNA", at positions 14 to 2330 of the family's 2925-position model. Lineage: Bacteria; Pseudomonadati; Pseudomonadota; Gammaproteobacteria; Pseudomonadales; Pseudomonadaceae. The record is from RNAcentral.
AGCGCAUACGGUGGAUGCCUUGGCAGUCAGAGGCGAUGAAAGACGUGGUAGCCUGCGAAAAGCUUCGGGGAGUCGGCAAACAGACUUUGAUCCGGAGAUCUCUGAAUGGGGGAACCCACCUAGGAUAACCUAGGUAUCUUGUACUGAAUCCAUAGGUGCAAGAGGCGAACCAGGGGAACUGAAACAUCUAAGUACCCUGAGGAAAAGAAAUCAACCGAGAUUCCCUUAGUAGUGGCGAGCGAACGGGGAUUAGCCCUUAAGCUUCAUUGAUUUUAGCGGAACGCUCUGGAAAGUGCGGCCAUAGUGGGUGAUAGCCCCGUACGCGAAAGGAUCUUUGAAGUGAAAUCGAGUAGGACGGAGCACGAGAAACUUUGUCUGAACAUGGGGGGACCAUCCUCCAAGGCUAAAUACUACUGACUGACCGAUAGUGAACCAGUACCGUGAGGGAAAGGCGAAAAGAACCCCGGAGAGGGGAGUGAAAUAGAACCUGAAACCGUAUGCGUACAAGCAGUGGGAGCCUACUUGUUAGGUGACUGCGUACCUUUUGUAUAAUGGGUCAGCGACUUAUAUUCAGUGGCAAGCUUAACCGUAUAGGGUAGGCGUAGCGAAAGCGAGUCUUAAUAGGGCGUUUAGUCGCUGGGUAUAGACCCGAAACCGGGCGAUCUAUCCAUGAGCAGGUUGAAGGUUAGGUAACACUGACUGGAGGACCGAACCCACUCCCGUUGAAAAGGUAGGGGAUGACUUGUGGAUCGGAGUGAAAGGCUAAUCAAGCUCGGAGAUAGCUGGUUCUCCUCGAAAGCUAUUUAGGUAGCGCCUCAUGUAUCACUCUGGGGGGUAGAGCACUGUUUCGGCUAGGGGGUCAUCCCGACUUACCAAACCGAUGCAAACUCCGAAUACCCAGAAGUGCCGAGCAUGGGAGACACACGGCGGGUGCUAACGUCCGUCGUGAAAAGGGAAACAACCCAGACCGCCAGCUAAGGUCCCAAAGUUGUGGUUAAGUGGUAAACGAUGUGGGAAGGCUUAGACAGCUAGGAGGUUGGCUUAGAAGCAGCCAUCCUUUAAAGAAAGCGUAAUAGCUCACUAGUCGAGUCGGCCUGCGCGGAAGAUGUAACGGGGCUCAAACCACACACCGAAGCUGCGGGUGUCACGUAAGUGACGCGGUAGAGGAGCGUUCUGUAAGCCUGUGAAGGUGAGUUGAGAAGCUUGCUGGAGGUAUCAGAAGUGCGAAUGCUGACAUGAGUAACGACAAUGGGUGUGAAAAACACCCACGCCGAAAGACCAAGGGUUCCUGCGCAACGUUAAUCGACGCAGGGUUAGUCGGUUCCUAAGGCGAGGCUGAAAAGCGUAGUCGAUGGGAAACAGGUUAAUAUUCCUGUACUUCUGGUUACUGCGAUGGAGGGACGGAGAAGGCUAGGCCAGCUUGGCGUUGGUUGUCCAAGUUUAAGGUGGUAGGCUGAAAUCUUAGGUAAAUCCGGGGUUUCAAGGCCGAGAGCUGAUGACGAGUCGUCUUUUAGAUGACGAAGUGGUUGAUGCCAUGCUUCCAAGAAAAGCUUCUAAGCUUCAGGUAACCAGGAACCGUACCCCAAACCGACACAGGUGGUCGGGUAGAGAAUACCAAGGCGCUUGAGAGAACUCGGGUGAAGGAACUAGGCAAAAUGGCACCGUAACUUCGGGAGAAGGUGCGCCGGCUAGGGUGAAGGAUUUACUCCGUAAGCUCUGGCUGGUCGAAGAUACCAGGCCGCUGCGACUGUUUAUUAAAAACACAGCACUCUGCAAACACGAAAGUGGACGUAUAGGGUGUGACGCCUGCCCGGUGCCGGAAGGUUAAUUGAUGGGGUUAGCGCAAGCGAAGCUCUUGAUCGAAGCCCCGGUAAACGGCGGCCGUAACUAUAACGGUCCUAAGGUAGCGAAAUUCCUUGUCGGGUAAGUUCCGACCUGCACGAAUGGCGUAACGAUGGCGGCGCUGUCUCCACCCGAGACUCAGUGAAAUUGAAAUCGCUGUGAAGAUGCAGUGUAUCCGCGGCUAGACGGAAAGACCCCGUGAACCUUUACUGUAGCUUUGCACUGGACUUUGAGCCUGCUUGUGUAGGAUAGGUGGGAGGCUUUGAAGCGUGGACGCCAGUUCGCGUGGAGCCAUCCUUGAAAUACCACCCUGGCAUGCUUGAGGUUCUAACUCUGGUCCGUGAUCCGGAUCGAGGACAGUGUAUGGUGGGCAGUUUGACUGGGGCGGUCUCCUCCUAAAGAGUAACGGAGGAGUACGAAGGUGCGCUCAGACCGG